AAAGGUACACUGUCUCCUUUCUCUAAUCAGGAAAACUAAUCUUCCCGUGAAGAAGCGGGGAUCCUUAUAUAAGACGAGAAGACCCUAUGGAGCUUUAAACGAAAUAACAUCUACCAACUCACCUAACAAUUUCAGAAAAUUAAUACUAAACUUGGUAUAAUGGUUACUAGUUUUAGGUUGGGGUGACCGCGGAGCAAAAAACAACCUCCGCAUUGAAUGGACUUACACUCCUAAACAAAAAGCCACAACUUUAUGUAUCAACACAUUGACAUCCAUUGACCCAUUAAUUUGAUCAACGAACCAAGUUACCCUAGGGAUAACAGCGCAAUCCAUUUCAAGAGCUCCUAUCGACAAAUGGGUUUACGACCUCGAUGUUGGAUCAGGGUAUCCCGGUGGUGCAGCCGCUACCAAAGGUUCGUUUGUUCAACGAUUAAAACCCUACGUGAUCU
RNAcentral lists this ribosomal RNA (449 nucleotides) under Odontophrynus sp. n. MP-2019. Its description in RNAcentral is "partial large subunit ribosomal RNA". It matches the Rfam family "Bacterial large subunit ribosomal RNA", at positions 2007 to 2606 of the family's 2925-position model. The record is from RNAcentral. Lineage: Eukaryota; Metazoa; Chordata; Amphibia; Anura; Alsodidae.